Molecule: long non-coding RNA, 824 nt
Organism: Triticum aestivum (bread wheat)
Lineage: Eukaryota; Viridiplantae; Streptophyta; Magnoliopsida; Poales; Poaceae
Exons: 3
Source: RefSeq, a predicted model, not a curated record
GAGAAGGAGGACGACCAGGCGGCGACGCGCCCGCCCAAGUGUAACUAAUUCCUCUCUCUUCUUUGCAGGAUCUAAUCUCUCCCAUGGCGGUCGGCGGCGCUCUGGCCGUGGAGGCCUGCUCCUCAUGCUCCUCCUCUGGAUCUAAUUCUUGAUUCUUGCGUCGGUCUGAACUGUGCGAUUUACGUUUCGUCAGAGGUCUGUUCUUGGGAUUCUAGUGCUGUUGAUCUCGUCAAGGGCCUCAUCUGCUUUCUUUCAUCUUGUGAAGGUGAUUAUUAUUAGUACUUUCCCUGCUAAUUGUUUACUGUUUCAAUACAUUUUGUUCCUCUAACAUAGUGUCUUUAGCGUUCUUGGUAGAACGGUUUUAUUGUGCAUGGAAUGUUUUAUCCUCUCACCUUAUACUAUUUAUUUGUGUGCUUACAUAUAUUCUUUCCUGCUUCGUAUUGUGUAAUUACUUCGUUUACCUAGAAUGUGUGCUCUGGUGUCCUUUGUUCUUCCAAUUUUGGAACUGUGGCAGCACAAUGUGCAUUGCUUCCGCCUUUUUACUUGUGUGAGAUCGACGGGAAUGGUCAUGUGCUUGCUGGUGUAGAGAUUGAUGUUCCUGGGGAUGGCCUUAUAGGUAAUAAACCUAGGUUUAUUUUAGAUUCAAAUCACUUAGCUUUUUUUGAGCCAUGGAACCUACAGUUUUACACUGCCAGAUUGAGACAUGGAAAUUCAUGAUGUACUUUGCGAGACCCCUGUCCGUUAGUGCCUCUUUGAUCGGCUCUGCUAUGGCAUUGGAUAAGCCUUUAGUAUAGUGAGCUUUGGUAGAAAAUGGUUCUGCCAUU